RNAcentral lists this non-coding RNA (45 nucleotides) under Schistosoma margrebowiei. The record is from RNAcentral. Lineage: Eukaryota; Metazoa; Platyhelminthes; Trematoda; Strigeidida; Schistosomatidae.
AUCUAGCUGACGAGCCGUAAAUAGAACGAAACGCGUGUCCUGAAU